Molecule: non-coding RNA, 379 nt
Organism: Pantherophis guttatus
Lineage: Eukaryota; Metazoa; Chordata; Lepidosauria; Squamata; Colubridae
Source: RefSeq, a predicted model, not a curated record
ACUGUUACCAUAAAUAAAUCCUGUUAUAAUCGAAAUCUUAUUUGGGGCUAAUAUAGAUACCUUUCUCCAUGCAUUUUGGCCUACUAUCCACAAACGCUUAUGUUAUGUGUGUAUCCCAAGCUGUCAGACGCAGUGUUCAACGAUCAGUGCUAUCUUCAAAUACAUUCCAAACCAUAACAACCGUGGGAUAAGAAAAGAGUCAAUAAAGACAUUCUUAUCAUAUGAUGGUAGAAAGUGAGUUCUUCCAAUGAUGCUGAAUGAAAGGACAGAUAAAAAGAAAUACUUCAAUGAAAGGAUGUUAUUGAAAGCCACAUUAUCCUCUGUUAAUAUUGUUACAGAGAAUCUCAAAUAAAUAUUUUUCUAUCCCAUUAUAUAUAAA